GAUGAACGCUGGCGGCGUGCCUAAUACAUGCAAGUCGAGCGAACAGACGAUGAGCUUGCUCCUCUGACGUUAGCGGCUGACGGGUGAGUAACACGUGGAUAACCUACCUAUAAGACUGGGUUAACUUCGGGACACCGGAGCUAAUACCGGAUAAUAUAUUGAACCGCAUGGUUCAAUAGUGAACGACGGUUUUGCUGUCACUUAUAGAUGGAUCCGGGCGGCAGUAGCUAGGUGGUAAGGUAACGGCCUACCAAGGCAACGAUGCCAAACCGACCUGAGAGGGUGAUCGGCCACACUAGAACUGAGACACCGUCCAGACUCCUACGGGAGGCAGCAGUAGGGAAUCUUCCCCAAUGGGCGAGAACAUGACGGAGCAUCGCCGCGUGAGUCAUGAAGGUCUUCGGAUCGUAAAACUCUGUUAUUAGGGAAGAACAAAUGUGUAAGUGACUAUGCACGUCUUGACGGUACCUAAUCAGAAAGCCACGGCUAACUACGUG
Molecule: ribosomal RNA, 497 nt
Filed under: uncultured bacterium
Lineage: Bacteria
Description: partial 16S ribosomal RNA
Rfam family: Bacterial small subunit ribosomal RNA
Source: RNAcentral